CCCCCCCCCCUCCCGGAGGCUGAGGCGUGACCCUUAACAGAGCGCAGAGCCCUGGGCUUCUAGCCCGGACCGAGUCCUGGGCACAGGGAGGACUGGAUUCCACUGUGUCUCCCUGAAGCUGUAGGACUCCCGCGACAGCCUGGAGCCAGGCUCUCUCAAGUCAUGUCAAGAGGCCAGUUUAAUCCGGGGCUCGAAGGUCGCUGUUACUGAUCAGAACAACUUGUCGGUGACCCUGAACAAGCUUCUUGACCUGCGUGCACCUCAACUUCCCCAGGAAACAGAGAUGGCCACCAACCCUAAGGAUGCCGGAGCUGGAGGCGGGGUCCGGCCUCGUGCACUAUGGCUGUCUGGGUCAACAGCACAGCACACCCCCAGGCCUUGAACUCUGAACAGCGCCUCCACUGCUCCCUGAAGCCCCAGUGCCAGCAGCAGGGACCUGCGGCAGCUUCCCAGCGCCAUCCCCUCCGUCUCAGGCCACCUCUUGCCCUCUUCCCCUGCCUCUGAGCCCCUUGGCCGGCCGGUUCCUUCCUCCCCAUCCGUGGACAGGCUCAGGCUUCCAGGCACUUCCCCAUCAGAAACGCUCAGCUGCCCUUCACCCUUUGCUCCGGGAACCCAAACUCUCAAGGAACCCGCUCUCCCUCUCCUCCCCAUGGAAGCCACCACAACCCAGCUCACUGUCCCUUGGUCCCCAGUGGGCACGGCUCCAGCCUCCUGUCUCUGGAGCCAGCCUCCUUCUCAUCCUGAAGAUCCUGCAGCCUGAUGAACUCUGAAACGCCUCAAGUCCCAGUUGCACAGAUUACCAGCCACGUGGCCCCCAAUUCCCCAAGCCGUCUGCACCGUGGUCUUUUCAUCCAAAGUCUGCUGAUAACCACACCUACACUUCGUGGGGCUGCUGGCGAGAACCAUGCUGUGAACCACAGGCUAGUUGUUGGGCCCAGGUCUCUCCGGGUGUGUGUGUGGGGUCUCUGCCUGUGUAAGCAAUCCGAGGAAGCGUGUUGGUUCAUACUGGUGGCUGACACAUCGCACGGUGGGAGUGACUAAUCGCACUCCAGGAUGGCCAACCCAUCACAGGGUCCCGGGGCUCCUGGAGACAACCGGCCAAAGCCGUGUGCAUGUAAAAGGGUCAGGAAAGGAGUGGGUCCAGGAUUGGGGUGCCCAGCCUGGAUGGCACUCUCGGCUCUGCUUCCGGCCCAGCCACCAGAGGCGAAGGAGAAGGCAGAGCAUGGACCUUGAGCACGUCAGCUGUGAUUAUUUCCUGCUUCUUUCAGUUCCUUCUUCCCUUCAUCUCCCGGCCAACUUCCCUACGCCCUCGUUCAGGCUGCGCGAUGGGGUUCGAGCCCCUGCCUUGACCUGCCAACUCUCAUUCUUCCCUCCCCGGGGCCUGUGCUGUCCUGUCGUGGUAGGAGCCAUCGACUCAGCGGGGUGGGGGUGGGGGGGGGGGGAGUUCGGGGCAGAACCUGGCAGCAAGGUGGUCACUGUCCUCCGCAGGCUGUUUGUGAAGGGGGUGGGGUGGUCUUGGGAGCGCAGCCGUGAAGACGGACGCCAGGCCACACAAGCCGCGCGACUCCCUCCUCAUCACCCUGCCGCCCCAGCCCAGCGCUUCUCCGUGGGGGUGGCGCUGGCCCCCAGGGGGACGUCUGGCAGCCUCUGGAGACAUUUCUGUCACAACCGAGGGGGUUGCUACUGGCAUCGGGUGGGCAGAGGCUGGCGGGGCAACGCCUCAUCCUACAACCCAGAAUGAGCAGGCUCCGCGUGGGCCUCCGACCACUUGGGUUCCAGAUACUCUGAGGAAGCGGACCAAGGCUCCAAGCCCUCUCCCGAGAAGAGUGCACAUGCGCACGUGCAGUUACUACACUUUACAACAGGAUCUCUGGAAGUGCUCGUAACCCCCCGCCCCGUGGUUGUCUGUCCAUCCAUCCCGGAGGAGAUUCCGGCUCUGCUGUGCUGCUGGUCUAGACGCCACAGUGGGGCACCUGCACUGGAGUCUGCCCUCCGCGCCCUCCUCGCCUUCCUCCUUUCAAACCAACGGGCUCAGUGGGAGUCAGACAGACAGGCGCUCUGUGAAAGAGAGGGAUUCGAGGUAAACACGUCCCGCUCUGCCCUGCCCACCCCCCACCCCCGGCGGCCUCUCCCUGCCCCUCUCGCCCUCCCUUCAGCCCCUGGCCGCUUCUGCCCCUCGUGUGAGGCCUCAGCUCUAGAACAGCGCCAGCCCUCGGAAGCAGGACGCGCUCACCGGUGGGUAGCUGUCCCCACGUCUCAGGCACAGUGGCAGGGAGGAGGUGACCACGAAGGCGAUGUGGUGUUCCCUAAGGCCCCAGAUCUGGAGCAUCAUCGCCCUGGUCCCACAGAGCCGGGCCUACCGAGAAGACACGGACGAGGCUAUGGGGGCAGCUGGGCCCCACCUGACCGUGGCCAAGUCACCCUACUUGCAGGACCUGUUACCUCAUCUGAAGGAGAGGGGAGUCCGCGCACUCUUCACCAGCACCCUUCCAGCGGGGAUGGGGUUCUCGCCUCUGUCUUCCGCCAUCCUCGGGGCCAUCCUAUCGACCCUUCGCCCCUCCAAAGCUCCACAAACAUCCCCUCGACACAUAAACCAAAAUGAAAAGCUACAAAGGACGCUGCUUAUAACAAGGUUUUAAUAAAAUAAAAAGUUCAAGUGCUUUCAA
Molecule: long non-coding RNA, 2666 nt
Organism: Neofelis nebulosa (Clouded leopard)
Lineage: Eukaryota; Metazoa; Chordata; Mammalia; Carnivora; Felidae
Exons: 3
Source: RefSeq, a predicted model, not a curated record